GUCAACGGCCAUACCACCCUGAACACACUCGAUCUUGUCUGAUAUUGGAAGCUAAGCAGGGUCAGGCCUGAUUAGUACUUGAAUGGGAGAAACUUACUCAUUUUGGAUCUAUUGAGU
RNAcentral lists this ribosomal RNA (117 nucleotides) under Chinchilla lanigera (long-tailed chinchilla). Lineage: Eukaryota; Metazoa; Chordata; Mammalia; Rodentia; Chinchillidae. The record is from RNAcentral.